AAAAAAAACCGUACCGUAAACCGACACUGGUAGGCAGGGUGAGAAUCCCAAGGCGCUUGAGAGAACUCGGGUGAAGGAACUAGGCAAAAUGGCACCGUAACUUCGGGAGAAGGUGCGCCCUUUGACGUGGUCACAUGCGUGACUGAGCGUUGAAGGGUCGCAGUAACCUGGCCGCUGCGACUGUUUAUCAAAAACACAGCACUCUGCAAACACGAAAGUGGACGUAUAGGGUGUGACGCCUGCCCGGUGCUGGAAGGUUAAUUGAUGGGGUCAGCCGCAAGGCGAAGCUCUUGAUCGAAGCCCCAGUAAACGGCGGCCGUAACAAUAACGGUCCUAAGGUAGCGAAAUUCCUUGUCGGGUAAGUUCCGACCUGCACGAAUGGCGUAACGACAGCGGCGCUGUCUCCACCCGAGACUCAGUGAAAUUGAAUUCGCUGUGAAGAUGCAGCGUUCCCGCGGCAAGACGGAAAGACCCCGUGAACCUUUACUAUAGCUUUACACUGAACGUUGAGUUCUUCUGUGUAGGAUAGGUGGGAGGCUUUGAAGCGCAGACGCCAGUUUGCGUGGAGCCAACCUUGAAAUACCACCCUGAAGUGCUUGACGUUCUAACCUCGGCCCGUAAUCCGGGUCAGGGACCGUGUAUGGUGGGUUUUGACUGGGGCGGUCUCCUCCCAAAGAGUAACGGAGGAGCACGAAGGUACGCUCAGCGCGGUCGGACAUCGCGCACUGUGUGCAAUGGCAUAAGCGUGCUUGACUGCGAGAUCGACGGAUCAAGCAGGUACGAAAGUAGGUCACAGUGAUCCGGUGGUUCUGUAUGGAAGGGCCAUCGCUCAACGGAUAAAAGGUACUCCGGGGAUAACAGGCUGAUACCGCCCAAGAGUUCAUAUCGACGGCGGUGUUUGGCACCUCGAUGUCGGCUCAUCACAUCCUGGGGCUGUAGCCGGUCCCAAGGGUAUGGCUGUUCGCCAUUUAAAGUGGUACGCGAGCUGGGUUCAGAACGUCGUGAGACAGUUCGGUCCCUAUCUGUCGUGGGCGUUGGAGAUUUGAGGGGGGCUGCUCCUAUUACGAGAGGACCGGAGUGGACGUUCCGCUGGUGUUCGGGUUGUCAUGCCCAUGGCAUUGCCCGGUAGCUAUGAACGGAAGUGAUAACCGCUGAAAGCAUCUAAGCGGGAAGCACGCCCCAAGAUGAGAUCUCCCGAGAGCUUGACUCUCCUAAAGGCACCAUCAAGACCAGGUGGUUGAUAGGUCAGGUGUGGAAGCGCAGCAAUGCGUUGAGCUAACUGAUACUAAUGAGCCGUGCGGCUUGACC
This 1308-nucleotide ribosomal RNA is filed under the name metagenome. Its description in RNAcentral is "bacterial LSU rRNA". It matches the Rfam family "Bacterial large subunit ribosomal RNA", at positions 1634 to 2925 of the family's 2925-position model. The record is from RNAcentral.